RNAcentral lists this ribosomal RNA (253 nucleotides) under uncultured bacterium. RNAcentral's name for it is "partial 16S ribosomal RNA". It matches the Rfam family "Bacterial small subunit ribosomal RNA", at positions 524 to 776 of the family's 1533-position model. The record is from RNAcentral.
UACGAACUGUGCGAACGUUAUUCGGAAUCACUGGGCUUAAAGGGUGCGUAGGCGGUCCGCCCAGUCAGGUGUGAAAUCCCCCGGCUCAACCGGGGAAUAGCGCUUGAAACUAGCGGGCUGGAGUGAGGCAGGGGUGUGUGGAACUUCCGGUGGAGCGGUGAAAUGUGUAGAUAUCGGAAGGAACGCCGGUGGCGAAAGCGGCACACUGGGCCUUGUCUGACGCUGAGGCACGAAAGCUAGGGGAGUGAACGGG